This is a long non-coding RNA of Xenopus tropicalis (tropical clawed frog), 146 nucleotides long. RefSeq lists it as uncharacterized. The record is from RefSeq and is a predicted model, not a curated record. Lineage: Eukaryota; Metazoa; Chordata; Amphibia; Anura; Pipidae. The transcript has 3 exons.
AGAAUGGCAGCGAAAAUGGCGAGGCGCAUACUUCGAAAAGUAUUUUGUUGCCUCCCACUUUUUAGAAAAAAACGAAUUGUGAAAGAUAAAGAAGUUGUUAUUCUGGUUCAACCAGAAGAACAACAACAUCAACCCACUGAAACAAU